GGGCUUGUAGCUCAGAUGGUAGAGCGCUCCGUUUGCAUUUGGGUGAGGCAUGUGGAUCGAUACCCCACUGGUCCA
Molecule: non-coding RNA, 75 nt
Organism: Cavenderia fasciculata
Lineage: Eukaryota; Evosea; Eumycetozoa; Acytosteliales; Cavenderiaceae
Source: the annotation of a RefSeq genome assembly